GCUGAAGUGACAAAUGCCCUGCUUCCAGGAAAAGCCUCUAAGCAUCAGGUAACAUCAAAUCGUACCCCAAACCGACACAGGUGGUCAGGUAGAGAAUACCAAGGCGCUUGAGAGAACUCGGGUGAAGGAACUAGGCAAAAUGGUGCCGUAACUUCGGGAGAAGGCACGCUGAUAUGUAGGUGAAGCGACUUGCUCGUGGAGCUGAAAUCAGUCGAAGAUACCAGCUGGCUGCAACUGUUUAUUAAAAACACAGCACUGUGCAAACACGAAAGUGGACGUAUACGGUGUGACGCCUGCCCGGUGCCGGAAGGUUAAUUGAUGGGGUUAGCGGUAACGCGAAGCUCUUGAUCGAAGCCCCGGUAAACGGCGGCCGUAACUAUAACGGUCCUAAGGUAGCGAAAUUCCUUGUCGGGUAAGUUCCGACCUGCACGAAUGGCGUAAUGAUGGCCAGGCUGUCUCCACCCGAGACUCAGUGAAAUUGAACUCGCUGUGAAGAUGCAGUGUACCCGCGGCAAGACGGAAAGACCCCGUGAACCUUUACUAUAGCUUGACACUGAACAUUGAGCCUUGAUGUGUAGGAUAGGUGGGAGGCUUUGAAGUGUGGACGCCAGUCUGCAUGGAGCCGACCUUGAAAUACCACCCUUUAAUGUUUGAUGUUCUAACGUUGGCCCGUAAUCCGGGUUGCGGACAGUGUCUGGUGGGUAGUUUGACUGGGGCGGUCUCCUCCUAAAGAGUAACGGAGGAGCACGAAGGUUGGCUAAUCCUGGUCGGACAUCAGGAGGUUAGUGCAAUGGCAUAAGCCAGCUUGACUGCGAGCGUGACGGCGCGAGCAGGUGCGAAAGCAGGUCAUAGUGAUCCGGUGGUUCUGAAUGGAAGGGCCAUCGCUCAACGGAUAAAAGGUACUCCGGGGAUAACAGGCUGAUACCGCCCAAGAGUUCAUAUCGACGGCGGUGUUUGGCACCUCGAUGUCGGCUCAUCACAUCCUGGGGCUGAAGUAGGUCCCAAGGGUAUGGCUGUUCGCCAUUUAAAGUGGUACGCGAGCUGGGUUUAGAACGUCGUGAGACAGUUCGGUCCCUAUCUGCCGUGGGCGCUGGAGAACUGAGGGGGGCUGCUCCUAGUACGAGAGGACCGGAGUGGACGCAUCACUGGUGUUCGGGUUGUCAUGCCAAUGGCACUGCCCGGUAGCUAAAUGCGGAAGAGAUAAGUGCUGAAAGCAUCUAAGCACGAAACUUGCCCCGAGAUGAGUUCUCCCUGACUCCUUGAGAGUCCUGAAGGAACGUUGAAGACGACGACGUUGAUAGGCCGGGUGUGUAAGCGCAGCGAUGCGUUGAGCUAACCGGUACUAAUGAACCGUGAGGCUUAACCUUACAACGCCGAAG
RNAcentral lists this ribosomal RNA (1379 nucleotides) under Escherichia coli. RNAcentral describes it as "partial 23S ribosomal RNA". It matches the Rfam family "Bacterial large subunit ribosomal RNA", at positions 1584 to 2925 of the family's 2925-position model. Lineage: Bacteria; Pseudomonadati; Pseudomonadota; Gammaproteobacteria; Enterobacterales; Enterobacteriaceae. The record is from RNAcentral.